UACGUAGGGCGCGAGCGUUGUCCGGAAUCAUUGGGCGUAAAGAGCUCGUAGGCGGUUUGUCGCGUCUGCUGUGAAAGCCUGGGGCUCAACUCCGGGAUUGCAGUGGGUACGGGCAGACUAGAGUGCGGUAGGGGAGACUGGAAUUCCUGGUGUAGCGGUGGAAUGCGCAGAUAUCAGGAAGAACACCGAUGGCGAAGGCAGGUCUCUGGGCCGUUACUGACGCUGAGGAGCGAAAGCAUGGGGAGCGAAC
This 250-nucleotide ribosomal RNA is filed under the name uncultured bacterium. Its description in RNAcentral is "partial 16S ribosomal RNA". It matches the Rfam family "Bacterial small subunit ribosomal RNA", at positions 524 to 773 of the family's 1533-position model. The record is from RNAcentral.